CGCGGCUGCUGCUGCCAGAGCGUUAAGCUUAAACGUAAUCCCGCUGGUUUUUCUUAUGCUUAGAGUAAAAGCUUUUCUUUUACUGAGAUGUAMUAGUUUUGCCGAUGCUCUUAAAAAUGGCUUUACAAGUUUACAGAGAUUAGAAAUACAUUUUUCUGGCAUCAAAAAUGGGGCUGUCGUUUAAUUUAAAAAGAAGAUGCAAACGAGCUGUUAAACCCGGUUAGCAAGCGCUUACAGCUUCUAGACCAGGGUGUCAAAGUUACAGCCGUGAGCUAGACACCUGCCAGGAGAAUUCACAUGGUCCGASGUCCACUGCCCACCCGCAGCAGUCUUUCAGGAGUUUCGUCUUUGAUUAGCUUGCUGUUACCUGGCAUCAGAACUGAUCAAGGAGUACUUCCCUGGGCACUCCAGAUCUUUUGGGCCACAUGAGGGAAAAUAAAGACAAGCAAGGACUCUUUAAGAGCAGACUGAUUUCAUUCCAGGAGGCAGGACCAGAAGAAGGUGAGCAAGGUCUGGCCGUGACCCUCAGCAACAAAUAUCAAGGGAUCACAAUAUGCAAAGGAUCACAGGGUUUGGCCUCAGUGGAAGGGCGUGAGCUUUGUGGAUGCCCAGGACUGUACAGAUUACCACACUCUGUAUCUCGUCAAAUCUAUGCUGACAUUCAUAGUCUGAAAAAAUAGACCAUUGUGUGCUACAAGACUGACAAGAAAUAUGUCAAUAAAUAAAUCCAGGAAGUCA
This 738-nucleotide long non-coding RNA is filed under the name Dromaius novaehollandiae (emu). Its description in RNAcentral is "lncRNA (ENSDNVG00000012411.1)". Lineage: Eukaryota; Metazoa; Chordata; Aves; Casuariiformes; Dromaiidae. The record is from RNAcentral.